GGACUGUUAAUCUGUGUGGUGGUUACAGAAGCGUUAAAAGUAAAAAUUCAAUGUUAAAAAAAUCAUUGAGCUUUACAACUAAUUGAUCACAACCAGUUACAGAUUCCUUUGUUCCUUCUCCACUCCCACUGCUCCACUUGACCAGCCUUAA
RNAcentral lists this small RNA (151 nucleotides) under Prolemur simus (greater bamboo lemur). RNAcentral's name for it is "Y RNA (ENSPSMG00000003072.1)". Lineage: Eukaryota; Metazoa; Chordata; Mammalia; Primates; Lemuridae. The record is from RNAcentral.